UACGGAGGGUGCGAGCGUUGUCCGGAAUCACUGGGCGUAAAGGGCGCGUAGGCGGCGCGGGAAGUCAUCGGUGAAAGUUCAGGGCUCAACUCUGAAUCGGCCGGUGAUACUCUCGUGCUUGAGCACUGUAGAGGCAGGUGGAAUUCCUGGUGUAGCGGUGGAAUGCGCAGAUAUCAGGAGGAACACCGGUGGCGAAGGCGGAUCUCUGGGCCAUAACUGACGCUGAGGAGCGAAAGCAUGGGGAGCGAACAGG
Molecule: ribosomal RNA, 253 nt
Filed under: uncultured bacterium
Lineage: Bacteria
Description: partial 16S ribosomal RNA
Rfam family: Bacterial small subunit ribosomal RNA
Source: RNAcentral